This 3536-nucleotide long non-coding RNA is filed under the name Nicotiana tabacum (common tobacco). RNAcentral's name for it is "long non-coding RNA (NTAB_LNC010334)". Lineage: Eukaryota; Viridiplantae; Streptophyta; Magnoliopsida; Solanales; Solanaceae. The record is from RNAcentral.
AGAUUCUCGCUAACAUGUCACAAAGUACAAAGAGGAUGCAUGAAAGAAGAUGAACAUAAAGCACACUUGAUACAAAACAAUAUUCAAAAGGGGGAGAGGGGUAUAUAGGUACUUAGAUGCUAGAAACUAGGUACAACACUAGCUUGGACAACUCGACUUAGUCACAAGUGUAUGAGCUACUAGAAGUUCUGCAAAUAGAGUCUGAAAUAAAUAUUACUGUUUCGAAUGAAAUGAACAGUAAAUAAGGAAAGAGGAAGGGGACUUCAAGGUCUGCGCCAGCAGAUCUACCUCGAGUCAACAAAUAUGCCAAUCCGAGCUGAUGCACCUCACGUACAGUUGAGACCAGUACCAAAAUCUGCACAGGAAGUGUAGAGUGUAGUACGAGUACAACCAAUCCAAUGUACUACGUAAGUGUCGAGCCUAACUUCGACGAGGUAGUGACUAGACUAUGACAGAAAACUCACGAAAAUUAACAUGCACAAACGAAGAUAUACGUGCAACAUAACAGCAAAUAGAGAUUACAUACGUACGAUUCGGAGGGGAAAUGCAAAAGGGGGUACGAGGUAUGGUAACUAUAACAGGAAUGACAACAUGAGACAGUCAAAUAAACCAUCAACUAAUGAAAACGGAUAAACAUAAUGAAUAAAGAUAGCACGACAUCACCCAUCAUGCUAUUACUCAUAGCCCUACCAUGAAAUAAUAAUAAUGGCAUGGCAUCACCCUUCGUGCUUUUAAUAUCAAUCUCUCUAUGAAACGAUAAAUACGGUACGUCAUUACCCUUUAUGCUUUAACUCUCUUCUUCACUAUGUAUUAAUCAAUAAAUGAAGAAAUAAUCGGCACGGCAUCACCCUUCGUGCUUUAACACUUUCCCUUACCAUGUAGUAAUGAAUAUAAGAAUAAGCAAGAAUAAAUCUUACGUCAAAAUGGUUCUGAGAUACAAAUCCUCAAUUUCAAAGAAAUACUCCACCAUCACCAUUUAAUUCAUCAAUGUGGAAAGAACGAUCAAAUAAAGAACAAACUAAUCUAGGCAUGGAUAUCGUAAGUAAAGAAGGCAAUAAAUUACAAGAAACAAGUCACAACCGCAUGCUUUAACCCAACAACAACGCAUAAGUACUCCCCACCUCACAUAUACGUUGUACCCAAAUAUUUAAACACGUAGCAAAUAGGCAAACAAGUCUUAAUCUCUCAAGUCAAGGUUCACCAAGAGACUUACUUCGCUCCGCAAUCGACUCAAAGUUCAACCAUGGCCUUGCCUUUCGAACAAGCCUCCGAACCAACCAAAUCUAGUAAAUUAUUAACCAAAUGAUUCAAAAUACGCCUUAAGAACUACCCACGAAUGAAAGAGGUUCAAUCUAGAUCAAAAAGUCAACCUCGGACCCGCUUGGUCAAAAUCCAAAAUUCGAACCAAAAUCCGAUUACCCAUUCACUCCCGAGUCCGGUUAUGUAAUUUGUUUCUAAAUCCGACCUCAAUUCUCGAUCUAAAUUCUAAUUUUACAAAAAUUCCUAAUUCUAUCCAAAUCCCCAAUUUCUACCAUAAAAAUCCUAGAUUUUAGGUUUGAAUCUUAUGAAAUGUAAUAGGUAAUUAAAAGGAAGUAGGUUAGAGUUACUUACCAAUGAGUUAAGGAAGAAAAACUCUUGGAAAAAUCGCCUCUAAGGUUUUUAGGGUUGAGAAUUUGAAAUAAUGAGCUAAAAUCCCAUUUUUUCCUUCUUAAGUCCAGGUGCAGAUAUCACAAAUGCGACAUGAUUGCGAACCCCGCAAAUAUAAGAAAGCCGUCGCAAAUGCAAAGAUUUCCAUCUCUGCUGCCAUCGCAACCAGCACUCAUACCUUAACUUGGCCGAGCGAAACUUCUAAUUUAUUAUUUCUAUUCUACAAUACAAGUAAAACCAAUCUAAAAUUCAACAAAAAAUCUUGAUUUUUUCUGAAAAAAUCUUAGCAUAAUUUCAGCUUGUUAAAUAAUAUAUCUAAGAUCAACUAAAUGAAACCAUGAUAAUAUCUGGACAUUAAAUUCUUGACUUCUAUGUCAAUGAAGCCUCUUAGAACUACUGAAUAAUAAAAGACUGAAUUUUAAAAUCAAUGAAAUUCAUAAACUAGAAUGGAGCUCAUCAAAUCUGCUCCAUGGGAGGAGAAUAUCCUAGCUCGUAAAUUGACAUAGGUUAAUGUAGGUUCCUACAAAUAGAAUGUCAGUACAAUAUAAUUGUUCUUAGUAAGUAAAAUAAUCCUCUCACUAAAAUUGAAACGAGACUCUGAAUGAAAUACGUUGGCAGGAUAUGAUAAAAUUCUAAAAAGUUUCUUUAUGAGCAGUUAAAACAAACAACUCAUGUUUGUGUUGUAAAAAUUCUUCUUUCUUUCUUUUAUUUUCUUGUCUGGAACAACUCAAACAUAUAAACAUUUAAACUUUUUCUCCAAAAAAUACUUGUAAGUUCCCAAAACAUGUUCUUUAUUUUUUUUUCUUUUUAGGGAGUACCAUUGAUUUUGACAUUCUUUCUUAUUUUUUUCUAAGAAUAUCACCAUGUGAUCAAUAAUGGCGGAUUAUCCCAGCCCAAUCGCCUGGAUCCCAUUCCUAGUGGUGCUUCAUAGUUUAAGGUUCUAGCAUGCUUAUAUUCUUGUGCUUAUUACCAAUGCAUUUCUAUCAUAGGGCCCGGACCAACGAUACACUAAUCCUACUGCAUCACGAGUAGUUUCAGGAUUACAUAAGCCACUAGAGACUAUACGCCCUUCUUAGAAAUCUAAGAAAACUUCCAAAAUAUUUUUAUGAGCAAUCUUUUAAUCAUAAAAUCUAAAAUAAUAUUAUUUCUUCAAAAUGCUCAUCAAAACAGUUUUAUCUUAUGAAAGAAGCUUCAAUAGUUUAUAGUAUUAAGAAAAUAUAUGCAAGUCAUAAAAUGCAUGCGACAUAAUUUAUGAAAUAAUGAACCUUUCUUGUAAGAUUAAACAGGAUAAUCCUUUAAAUACUUUUCUAUAAUUCUAAUGAAUAAUGUGAGUCCACUCUCUCUAAUCAAAAAUGCACCUUGACAUUCUAUAUGAUUUAAUAAUAAUAUGUGGUAUGAUAUUUGUGAGAAGACAACUUUAAUAAAAGUAUUAUCUCAACUCACCUUGAUUUUUCCCUUUCGAAUACUUUAGUCACUCAAUUUCAAGGGAUUCAAUUCACCAAACCAAUCUCUACAUUUUGUAAUUCAAGAAUGAAUUCUAAAAGUUUCAAUUUCAAGCUUUGGAAGCCCUAGGUUUGCUUCUUUCUCAAUUUUCCAAAGUUUGUACUUAAUCUAUAUUUUUGUAGUAUAUUAUAGGAAUGGAUAUCAACAAAAAUCUUCCCUAAUAAUCAUAGUUGAAAGCAGAUUGCGGAGUUUAACUUGAAUCGUGAAAUCCUAAGUUGGAGGAAAACCUUGUUCGCGAAUCCUUGUUGAAAAUCUAGUGAUUCCAAGAUGUAAUCUUGUUAGAAUCGAUGUUUGGAAGUAGUAAUUUAACUUUAAUUGCAUUAAAAACUCACCUUAUGUAGUAUAGGAACUCUUGGAUGACUUGGGAUUGAGAGAGAAGGUCUAAU